AAUUGUUAAGCGCCUAGUGAGAAUUGAACUUGAACUCUUGAUGGUGAUCUCCAUUUUUUUUCCAUGGGGAUUCUUGAGCAAUUAUUUCUUUAUAUGGACUUCUGCUCUAAGGAUAUUCUUUGAACAAUGAUAUUUUCAGGCAUAUGCUGUGUGUGUCUCUAGGAGCCUUGACUGUGAAAGAACUUAAGAACUUGGAGAUACGAAUAGAGAAAAGAAUCAGUAGAAUUCGGUCCAAAAAGGAAAUUGAUUUGUACAACAAUAACCAGAUUCUCCGAGCCAAGGUUGAUCUCUCUCACUCUCUCUCUCUCUCCUUUAUCAUCAUUUGCUUUUAUGGGGCAAGUGGUUGUGGGUUCCUGCAAAUGCUGAGAACGAAAGGAAGUAGCAAAACAUGAAUUUGAUGCCAGGAGGCAACUAUGAGAUCAUGCAAUCCCAGCCAUUCGAUAAGAGGAACUAUUUUCAAGUGAAUGCAUUACAACCCACCAAUCAUUGCCACGUCAAGACCAGAUGUCCCUUCAAUUAGUUUCAUAUGCUUCCAGGACAUCUUUAAUCCUAUUUUUCUGUGGAGAGAGUAUCAGGUAUAUAUUUCAGCUGCUGAAAGCUGCAAUUCUGCCCAAAUUUUCUAGCAGAAAUCAACUUUGUCGCCUGAGCAAUGAGCAAUUCAUUUAUCGUGUCUAUCAUUUGUGUUGUGUCAUAUUUCAAUUAGCUGGGAAGUGAAGUUAAAGGAUGAGAAAAUGAUAGCUAAAUAAUUCAUUAUUUAUAUAUAUACGCAAGUGACAAGAGUGGCAGACAACUUUGAAUGUGAAAUGAAUUAAUGAAGUAAAUAAUUGAAAA
Molecule: long non-coding RNA, 831 nt
Organism: Hevea brasiliensis (rubber tree)
Lineage: Eukaryota; Viridiplantae; Streptophyta; Magnoliopsida; Malpighiales; Euphorbiaceae
Exons: 3
Source: RefSeq, a predicted model, not a curated record